GACGAACGCUGGCGGCGUGCUUAACACAUGCAAGUCGAACGAUGAAGCUGGAGCUUGCUCCGGUGGAUUAGUGGCGAACGGGUGAGUAACACGUGAGCAAUCUGCACUUGACUCUGGGAGAACUGCGGGACACUGUAGCUAAUAUCGGAUACGAGAUUUGGAGGCAUCUCCGGAUCUGGAAAGAAUUUCGGUCAAGGAGGAGCUCGCGGCCUAUCAGCUUGUUGGUGAGGUAAUGGCUCACCAAGGCGACGACGGGUAGCCGGCCUGGGAGGGGGGCCGGCCACACUGGGACUGAGACACGGCCCAGACUCCUACGGGAGGCAGCAGUGGGGAAUAUUGCACAAUGGGCGAAAGCCUGAUGCAGCAGCGCCGCGUGAGGGAUGAAGGCCUUCGGGUUGUAAACCUCUUUUAGUAGGGAAGAAGCGAAAGUGACGGUACCUCCAGAAGAAGCCCCGGCUAACUACGUGCCAGCCGCCGCCGUAA
This 483-nucleotide ribosomal RNA is filed under the name uncultured bacterium. RNAcentral describes it as "partial 16S ribosomal RNA". It matches the Rfam family "Bacterial small subunit ribosomal RNA", at positions 28 to 523 of the family's 1533-position model. The record is from RNAcentral.